This 449-nucleotide ribosomal RNA is filed under the name uncultured bacterium. RNAcentral describes it as "bacterial SSU rRNA". It matches the Rfam family "Bacterial small subunit ribosomal RNA", at positions 330 to 795 of the family's 1533-position model. The record is from RNAcentral.
UCCAGACUCCUACGGGAGGCAGCAGUGGGGGAUAUUGCACAAUGGGGGGAACCCUGAUGCAGCGACGCCGCGUGGGUGAAGGAGCGUUUCGGCGCGUAAAGCCCUAUCGGCAGGGAAGAAGGAGGACGGUACCUGACUAAGAAGCCCCGGCUAACUACGUGCCAGCAGCCGCGGUAAUACGUAGGGGGCAAGCGUUAUCCGGAUUUACUGGGUGUAAAGGGGGCGCAGACGGCAGCGCAAGCCAGGAGUGAAAGCCCGGGGCCCAACCCCGGGACUGCUCUUGGAACUGCGCGGCUGGAGUGCAGGAGGGGCAGGCGGAAUUCCUGGUGUAGCGGUGAAAUGCGUAGAUAUCAGGAGGAACACCGGUGGCGAAGGCGGCCUGCUGGACUGCGACUGACGUUGAGGCCCGAAAGCGUGGGGAGCAAACAGGAUUAGAUACCCUCGUAUAC